UGCUUCCCUUGGGGAUGCCCAGAACACAGCCUGGGAUGAUGAGGAGAGGCGGGAGAGCUUCCUAGGAGAUGGGCCCUGGAGCACCACCGUCCCUCCCCCAGGCCCAGGAUGUGAUUCUGAAUCUACAGUCAGACUGGACCACCUCUCCCCCAUGCCCCCAGAAUGUCCACAGGGGCUCCCUCGCCUACAAUAGAUGGAUUAGGUUCCUCCCUACUCUUCCCACACUGUCAGAGUCUGACUGGUGUGAAGUUCCGGUGUUUUUGUGUGCAUUUUACUACCAGGGUCGGCUAGAUAAGGAGGAGCUUUCAUUACAUCCUGGAGGUCUGUCCCCCGCACACACGCACAGCCGUCCUCCCUUCCCCCAACAUCUGAUCUAAUUCUCUCUCUGCUUUGCUGAGGCUGGCCUGGCCUAAGAGGAUUAGAGCAUUUGCUAAACGGGACCAGGACAGGCAGGGUCAGAGAACCCGCUGUGGGGAGACCCA
This 482-nucleotide long non-coding RNA is filed under the name Pan troglodytes (chimpanzee). Its description in RNAcentral is "lincRNA". Lineage: Eukaryota; Metazoa; Chordata; Mammalia; Primates; Hominidae. The record is from RNAcentral.